AGGAGGGGGUGUUGGUGAUUGUGCUUGAAAUUGGGAAGCCUUCGAACGGAUCCCAUAGGUCGAGGGAGAAUGGGUCAAAGAUGUUGCUCCUGCGACCACCGAAGAAGCUUGGAAUCAGAGACAUUUUCUGGGGACUUUGUUGUUUGAAGAAGACAAAAGAUGUACUGUUACAGAGCUUGAAUUUUUCUUUGAUUGUAGCGUUUGAUAAUUUGUUGUUGAUGAAUGAGAGGAGAUGCCGUGAUAUUUAUAGGCGAUGAACCAUGAAACUUAAGUAAUUGGAGUGUAAUCUAGGAUGUUCUCAGAGUAUUCGACGAUAUUCUUCAAUAAGCUAUCCAAUUCGAGGCUAAUCUUCGAUGUUCUUCGGUUUAACUUUCAUUAAUAGAAGAAAUAAGAAGCUUCUACAGUAUUCGAGGGAAUUUUUCUAAAAGGGUCAUGCACAUUAUUGUUCGUCAAGUCAUAAUUUCAAGGGUAAGGUAUAAUGGGUAAAUAAUUUUGAAAUAAAAUGAAGAGUAAAUACAUAAUAAUUACCCACUGAUGUUGGUCGAGAUUUUUAAAAAGACACUUAAACUUUGAAUUCGACCCAUUAUCCUAUGAUUCUUACUUAAUUUAUUGCAAACACACUAUUUUUCGCUGAAUUUUAGUCACAACAAGGAGAGUGAAAUACAUGCGUCAAUCAGAUGCCACCACAUGUCAAAUAUGUUUAAUUUAUAUUUUUAUUAUUAUUUUAAUAAAAUUUUAUUUUUUAUUUAAUUUAAUACCCCACCCCAAAAUCAAUUCAAAAAAUAAUUUUAUAAUUAAAUUGAGAGUUUUAUGAUUGAAUUUAGUUUUAAAGAUAGUUAAAUGAUAUGAUUUAACUGAAAAAUUGAGCUUUAAUGAUAUGAUUUUAAUAAAAAAAAAGCUUCAAUGGAGGAACUUUAAUGAUGAUAUUGUGUUGAAGAGCUUUAAUGGUGUUGAAGAAGAUAUUAUGUUGAAGAAGAAAUGGUGGAUAGUUAAAUGAUAUGAUUUAAUUGUAAAAUGGAGCUUUAAUGAAUGAUUUAAAAAAAUUAUGAAAAGUUUCAAUGGAAGCUUUAAUGGUGAGUUGAGUUAAAGAAGAAAGAGUGGGUGGUUGGAGGGCGGAGAGGGGGUAGGGAUAAUUUUUAAAAAUAAAUAAAUAUUAUUUUUUUUUAAAAAAUAUAAAUUAUAUAUUAAAUUAUUUUACACAUGACAGCUUUUAAUUGGUCAAAAAUGUCAAAUUCAAGCCAUUUCACGCGCCUGUGGUGCAUGUAUACACGUAGAGGGUCAAAAUGGUGUGUUUGCAACGAAAUAAAGAAGAAUCAUGGGGUAAUUAAUCGAAGUUAAAGUUUAGGUAUCUUUUUGUAAAUCUCGGACAAGAGAAGGAGGUAAUUAUGUAUUUACUCUAAAAUGAAAGAUUAAUACAUCCUUGACUACAUAUCUACAUGUUUCAUUAUUUACAUAUUGAAAAUGAUGGUGUUUGUAACUUUUCACAACAUCAUUUAGCAAAAAGUACCUGCACAGUACCAAAUGAUUAAUAUUUGUCUCAUAAAGAGGAAAGAAAAAGCAAGGGCAUAUUGAUAGAUGAGAUUUCCGACAAAUAAGAAACCAAAUCAUUACUAUCACAUGAACCUUAAGUUGUUGCAAUUAAGAGUUCGGAACUAAAGUAUGCCAUGCAACUAAAAAAAGAAUCAUUCUAUGUCAUAUAAAAAAAGUAUUAAAAUAGGUUUUGUGCACUUAUUAAGUGCACAAUGCCUUUCUAUUUUAACGGUAAAUCCAUUCACAGUAUCAGAGAAAGUCAAACUUAGUCAUUUUUUAUGAAUUGUGCACUUAUUAAGUGCACAAUUCAUUUUUUUAUGAAUUAUGCACUAAAUAAGUGCACAAUUCUUAUUAAAAUAGAUUGUGCACUUAUUAAGUGCACAAUGUUUUUUAAAUAAACUGUACACUUAUUAAGUGCACAAUGUUUAUUCACUUUUUACGCAUGACAUUUUCAUUUAAUUUGUUUAUUUAUUUAUUUAUUUAUUUAUUUUUUGAUUGUGCACUUUUUUAGUGCACAAUUCAUUUAUUUAUAUUGUUCACUUUUUUGUACAAUCAAUGGAUUGUUGUGAUUUUGGACUUGUUGAAGAAGAUUAACAAACAACAAAAGGAGCUGAAGGCCAAAAGGAUCUUAAAGCUAAUUUUAAGCAUUAGUGUGAUAUGUAAUCUGAUGAUGUUCAUUUACCUUUUGUGCCAUUGAAAGAGAAUUGUCUAUGUAUGAUGUUUUAUUUUGACGAAUAUAAUAGUAUUUCUCUGUUAAAGUACAAAUACUCUUAACACGAAAAUUUUUAUGGUAGAUGAGGUGCGCCAUGUCAUAUUUAUGUGAGGCUUUUCAUUAUUUGACAAGUGCACAUUGUGGGUCCCGUGUAAUUAUUAUCCUUUUCACUUUUUAUUGAAAUGUCAUGCUUUUUUAUUUUUUAAUUUAUUUACACAAAAUCAAAUAACAUGAAUAAAAUAGGGUGAAAAAAUUAUCAUACAAUUUUUUCUUUUUUAUUAAUAUAAAUUAUCUAACUUUAAAGUUUAUCACACAUAAAUUAUUAUUUUUUUUAUUUUUCAUAUAAAAAAUCAUCCAUUUUAAAAUUAUCACAGUAAUCUUUUUUUCUAAUUUUUAAAUGGCAAUGAAAUGAUAUAAUAAAAUUAUUUAUCAUUAUUUUAUUCAAUAAAAUUAUUUAGAUUAAUAGAUUUAUCUCACGAAGUAACAAUAGAAUUAAAACCCACACUUAGAAAAUAGGAUAGUUUGUAAUUAGCAUCCUUAAUAUAUGUGCAUUUUUUUUAAUUACACUUUAUUUUAUUUUUAAUGUCUUGGCCCUUAAAAUCUCAUUAAAUUCCUACAAAAUUAUAAUUAAUCUCAUUUUAAUUGUUACAAAGACAAAAAAAAAAGGAAAAAAUAGAAUUAAGAAGAAAAAAUAAUAAUAGCCUUUCAAUAUUGAUUCAUACCUCCAGUGAAUUUAUCUUGAAUGACUUUCAAGCCGUCUUUGCUUCUUUAAAUAAUCAAAUUUAAUAUUUCAAAAGUAUAUUUAUUGAAAUUAUUUAUUAGUUUAGUUUGGUUUAUAUUAAAAUCAUGUGUUUUAUUUUUGUUUUUUCAUCCGGUGUCCGAUACCCGCAUUGGAGUACGACUAAUGCUGAUUCGCGCCGCGUAGUGUCCCAUUCGGGGGGAAGCGCACCUUACCAAGAAUUUUUUCAUACCUAGGGCUCAAACCCGAGACCUCUGGUUAAAGGAGGAGCAGCCCCAUCCGCUGUAUCACAUCAUUUGGUGGUAUUAAAAUAUGUGGUUGUAUUAUGGUGAAACUGUUUAGUUUGAAAGCUUAUAACAAUUAUUAUUAUUAUUAUUAUUAUUAUUUAUGCUUUUUAUUUUAUUUUAUGUUUUUAAAGGGUAAUUUAUUUUAUUAUUAUUAUUAUUAUUGUAUUUUAAAUAAAUUGCCCUUUUAAAAUAUAAAAUAAAAUAAAAACUAUAUAUGCUUAUAACAAAUUAUCGUAUUCAUACUAUAAUUUUUUUACAUACAAAUACAUAUUUAUAAUAAUAAACAUUUUAAAUGUCAGCCGUAAAAAGUGAAUAGAGAUUGUGCACUUAAUAAGUGCACAAUCUAUUUAAAAAAUGUUGUGCACAAUCUAUUUUAAAAAAAAUUGUGCACUUUAGUGCACAAUUCAUAAAAAAAAAUGAAUUAUGCACUUAAUAAGUGCACAAUCCAUUAAAAAAUGGAUUGUGCACUUAAAAAUUGCACAAUCUAAGCGUGACCUUCUCUGACGCCGCGAAUGGAUUUGCUGUUAAAAUAAAAAGGCAUUGUGCACUUAAUAAGUGCACAAAGCCUAUUUUAGUAUUUUUUUUUAUAUGACAUAAAAUAAUACUUUUUUUAGUUGUAGGACAUAUUUGGUUUCGGACUCUGCACUUAACUAUAUUUCAUUCUUUUAUAUCAAAUACCUUCGUAGUAUUUAUUGGAAGAGUUCGUUGUGAUGGGAAAAAUACUUUCAUAGUAAGAAAAUCUAGAAAGUACAAACAUGUACUCAAACUAACUUAAAUAAAGUAGAAACAAUUAGAUUAGCUAAAUUAGAAUAUCAUGUAAUGUUGAAAACAUACUGAAAGACAUUCGAGAAGCUAACAUCGACAAGGAAUUAAGCCACUUUUACGUCCAAAACUCUCAUGUUCUCGAUCUUUCUAUUGCAGAAAAUCAACCUGAAAAAUUUAAAAGUAAAUUAUUAUUAUUAUUAUUAUUAUUAUUUAUUAUUAUUAUUAUUAUUAUUAUUAUUAUUAUUAUUAUUAUUUCAUUUCUAAUUCUUUAUUCCAUUUUUGAGAAGAGAAAAACUAAAUUAUAAAGUUGAAGGUUGUUGCCCUUCAAAUUAAAUAAUCUAUAGCCAAUAUAAUCUGGAAAACCUCUAUUUAGAAAGGGAAAAAAAUGAACAUUGAUAUACAUUUAAUAAAGCAAUGGAAAGUUGGACAUUAACCUCCUAGAAAUACUCACUGCAUCUUUUAAAAACCUUAAAUCAGAAACUAUCAAAUCUUUGUUUUUAUUAACAACAGGGACUUCCCCCAAUUCUUGUAGAAAACUUGAGACACAUAAAAUGUGAUUCUAAUGCUUAUUCAUCUCUUGAUUUUUCCAUCAUUAUUUAAAUAUCUACAACAAUAAUAUACUGGUAUAAUUUUAUUGGUGGGGUUUAGGGAGAGUAAAGUGUACACAGAUCUUACCCCUAUAAUUCGUAAAGAUAAGAGAAGUUGUUUCUGAUAGACCCUCAGCUGAAGUGAAGUAUCUCAAAGCAAUUUGAAAAGGGAAAUAUGGAAAUAGAAAUAGUAACAUCAACACUAUAUAUGAAUGCAUGGAGCGGAAUUUACCUUACUGUUUGCCUUUGCAUACGCAAUCAGCUGCUAAGUGUCUGACUCAAGAAUGCCAUCAACUAUAGUAGCCACGCCUCUAAUGAUUGCUUGUUUAAGAGCAGAUAUGGAGGAUGCAACAACAUUGCAUUGAGUUAAGAAAUUAACGAUCAGACAGAUUGUCUUUCAAGAGAUGACGGAGGGCUUGUCACACUACCAACCUUCUGAAAGAUACAAAGCUUAUAAAUACAUCAGUAGUGGGAUGUGCAACACAGCCAGCUUCAACUCUGUAUAACAGGACGGACAACAUUAGUUCAUAUAUCGUUUUGGACACACAACCAAUUGACAUACAUGGACAAAUUGAUUUAUAAUUAAGCCCUAUGUGCUAUAAUGUUGAGUCAAGAUGCUCCGCCUUUUCUAUAGAAGCAGUCAACUGAGUUCUAAACGAAUUAGCUUCUGGCCAUAUUACGCCUGUUGGGUUCAAUAUGUAUGGAAGAAGUGUGAAUAGAAAAUGGAGAGAAAAAGGAUGGAGGGAAGGAAACACUAAUUUAGAAAGUGUACUCUCAAAUUGAAAAGUUCACUAAAUCUCCCACAUUGGUGGGAGAAGAGAACUUUGGAGUAUUUUUAAUAAAGAAUACUUACUCUACAUAGAUAGUGAGGCAAGAACAAGGUGGUGCUUCGUGUUGUUGUCGUCGCUCGGCUCGACUUUGAAUUUGGAUUGAUGGAAUCUAUUAUUUUGGACAAAAUUUAUUUGAUCAAAAUCUGAUCCGAAUAUUCUAAAGGAAAAAUGACAGAAAUGCAGAAAAUUUUUUUGUGUUUUAUCCUCCAUUUAUAUGCAUGUAUACAGUGAACUGAUGCAUUAUUUCGAACUGAACUGAUGCAAUGUUAUGAACUGAUGCUUCAAAAAGAUGCAACCAUUCAGUAAAAAUGAUACACUGAUUCAUGGAAAGGUAUGCUUGUUCGGAAAAGAUACACUGUUUGGACGAAUAGACAUGAUUUUUCAGGAAAGGUUACACCUUUUUAAAUAAACCAUUGCCACUUUUCAGAAGAGGCCAGUUAUGACUAUAUAAACCUGCUUUCAUCCAUAGGUUUAGACAUGAAAAUUUUUUUGAAACAAAAACUCUUCUUGUUUUCAAAUAUUUUGUGUGAUCAAUCAAACUGUUGAGUGAGUUCGUAGAAUCCGUCAAUUUGAGGUACCGUUAUUGUUCGGAUUGAAGUCCAUUUUAUCCUGGGAGGAAGAUUCCAUAACCUCGGGUACAGUGAGGAGAAUUAUUCCAUAAGGACAUUCCAUGAAGUCGGGGGACUUGAUCUAAAUUUCUGUUUCAUCUUUUUCUGAAUAUUAACACACUUCUAAGAUAGAUUAUUCAUAAUCUAGUGUUGAAGGUGUGAAGAAACUUCAUAAGUUCUUGUCUUGAACUUGAACUUUCUUUGAAGUUUCUGUUGCUUAUAUAUAGAUUCUUGUACCCGAAUACAUACAAAAUAACAAUCUUAAGGAAUAAUUCAGAAUCUGUAUUACUUGUUUUUGAAGAUUAAAUCUUUAAACUUUCUACUCCGUUUGAAUUUAACUAGUGAUUAGAAGACAUAAAAUCUUUAUCACAAGUUUAAAAUUCACUCGGUUGACAAUUGGAAGUCAUUAAAACUUCAUUGUUAACUAGAAACAAGAAGAAGAGUUUAAGUUUCUUAACUUUAUAAGUAGUAUUCUGAAAAUACUAAAUAUUAUUGUCUUGUGGUGACAGGAAAAAUAACUAAUGAAAGCCAAAUGCAAGAUGCGGCUACGACUGUGGGGGCAACUAGCAUUGCUUCAACAAGUCGAGCAAAUGCUCCGCAACCAAUGGCACCUGCGGAGAAGCCUGGAAAAUUUACGGGCGUUGACUUUAAGCGAUGGCAGCAAAAAAUGUUCUUUUACCUCACCACUCUAUGCCUUUAAAGGUUCACUAGUGAAGAUGCUCCUGAGGUGCUCGAGGGAACCUCGGACAAAGAGCAUUUCAUGAUUGUAGAAGCUUGAAAAUACUCAGACUUUCUUUGUAGGAAUUAUAUAUUAAGUGGUCUCCAAGACGACCUCUACAAUGUUUACAGUGGAACUAAGACACCGAAGAAAUUGUGGGGGGCACUAGAUCGAAAAUACAAGACAUAGGAUGCGGAAAUUAAGAAAUUCUUUGUUGCAAGGUUCUUGGACUUUAAAAUGAUAUAGAGCAAAUCGGUUGUCUCUCAAGUGCAGGAAUUGCAAGUAAUCAUCCAUGAUCUUCUAGCGGAAGGUUUGAUUGUGAAUGAUGCUUUCCAAGUAGGAUCGAUAAUUGAGAAGCUACCACCAAUGUGGAAGACUUCAAAAACUGCUUGAAGCAUAAAAGCAAGGAGAUGACUGUUGAAGAUCUUAUUAACCGACUGCGUAUUGAAGAGGAUAAUAAAGCUACCGAGAGAAGGUCAAAAGGGAAUUCUGCAAUUAAUGGAGCACAUAUUAUGGAAGAUGACCAAAAUAAUUCUGAGAAAAGGAAGAAAGUUGAACAAGGAAGCAAUCAACCGAAGAAGAAAUUCAAGGAAAAAUGCUUCAAUUGUGGCAAGAUUGGCCAUAAGUCCACGGAUUGUCGAACCCCAAAGAAAGGCAAGAAAAAGGAUCAAGCAAAUAUGAUUGAAUCCAACAAAGAAUGCGAUGAUCUGUGUGCUAUGUUUUCAGAAUACAACUUGGUGGGAAAUCCUCGCGAAUGAUGGAUGGAUUCUGGUGCCACCCGCCAUGUAUGUGCAACAAAGAGUUGUUUUCGUCAUUUGUUCUGGCUCAAGUAGAAGAAAUAAUCUACAUGGCUAACUUCGCUACUGCUAAGGUAGAAGGAACAGGAAAAAUGUGCUUGAAAAUGACUUCAGGAAAAGUUUUGACACUUAACAAUGUCUUGUAUGUUUCAGAGUUACGUAGAAAUUUAAUUUCUGUUUCACUUCUAGACAAGAACGGAUUCAAAUGUGUAACCGUUUCUAGUAAAAUUAUAAUUAGCAAAGGAGAAAUGUAUGUAGGAAAAUGCUAUCUCACCGAGGGCCUUUAUAAGAUGAAUGUAAUGAAUGUUGAAAUAAAUAAAAGUUCAAAUUCUUCUUAUUUUCUUGAGUCUUAUGAUUUAUGGCAUGAACAUUUAGGCAAUGUUAAUUAUAAAACGCUACAAAAACUGAUUAACUUAGAAGUUCUGCCGAACUUUGAGUGCAAUAAAUCAAAGUGUCAACAUGUGUGGAAUCAAAGUAUGCAAAACAUCCUUAUAAGUCUGUUGAAAGGAAUUUCAAUCCCUUAGACUUAGUACACACUGACAUUUGAGAUAUGAAGUCAACACCAUCACGUGGUGGAAAAAAGUAUUUCAUAACUUUUUUUGACAAUUGCACUAGAUAUUGUUAUGUCUAUUUGCUAAAUAGUAAGGAUGAAGAAAUGGGUACGUUUAGGAAAUACAAAAUUGAAGUUGAAAAUCAGUUAGAUAAAAAGAUAAAAAUAAUAAGAAGUGAUAGGGGCAGAGAAUAUAAAUCUCCUUUCGCCGAAAUAUGUGUAGAGAAUGGAAUUGUCUAUCAAACUACGGCCCCGUAUUCACCUCAAUCUAAUGGAAUUGCGGAAAGAAAGAAACAAAUUUUGAAGGAAAUGAUGAAUGCCUUGCUUAUAAGUUUUGGUUUACCGUAAAACUUGUGGGAGGAGACUAUCCUUACAGUCAAUCGUAUACUCAAUACAGUUCCCCAUAGUAAGACACAGUCAAUUUCUUAUGAAAAAUGGAAAGGAAGGAAACCCAACUUGAAAUAUUUCAAAGUGUGGGGUUGUCUAGCAAAGGUCCAAGUUUCUAUGCCUAAGAGGGUUAAGAUAGAACCUAAACUGUGGACUGUGUGCUCAUAGGAUAUGCUAAAAGCAGUAAAGCAUGUCGAUUUUUGGUUCAUAAAUCCAAACAUCCGGAUAUAAAUAAAAAUACGGUAAUUGAAUCAGAUAAUGUUGAAUUCUUUGAAAAUAUUUACCUGUAUAAAACUAGACAUGAACAUUCUAGUGGAGGGUCUAAAUAACCUCGAGAUGAACCAAGUGAGAAUAUGCAUAAUGAAGAGAAUCCAAGAUGUAGUACACGUCGAAGAACUUCUACUACGUUUGGAUCAGAUUUUGUAACUUUUCUCUUAGAAAAUGAGCCUCAAACAUUUAAAUAAGCGGUGUCGACAUCAGACUCAUCCUUUUGGAAAGAGGCAGUCAAUAGUAAGAUUAAUUCAAUCUUAAGCAAUCAUACUUGAAAAUUGGUUGAUUUUCCUCCCGAAAAUAAAUAUUUAGGUUCUAAAUAGAUCUUCAAAAGGAAGAUGAAAGCGGAUGGUACUAUUGACAAAUACAAGGCAAAACUUGUAGUAAAAGGCUUCAAACAAAAAGAAGGUCUUGAUUACUUUGAUAUAUACUUGCCAGUAACAAGGAUAAAAUCAAUUCGAAUGUUAAUUGCCUUAGCUGCGGUAUUUGAUCUUGAAAUUCAUCAAAUGGAUGUGAAAAUCGCUUGCCUAAAUGGAGAAUUGGAGGAAGAAAUUUACAUGGAACAACCUGAGGAUUUUAUGGUUCCAGGAAAGGAAAACAAGGUGUGUAAACUUAUUAAGUCAUUGUAUGGACUAAAGCAAGCACCAAAAUAAUGGCAUGCGAAGUUUGACCAAACCAUGUUGGCAAACAGAUUUAAAAUAAAUGAAUGUGAUAAAUGUGUUUAUAUUAAAGACACUCCAAAUCACCAAGUCAUUGUAUGUUUAUAUGUGGAUGAUAUGUUGAUCAUCAGCAGAGACAUUUCUGACAUAAAUGCAGUUAAAUGAAUGCUCGAGAGCAAGUUUGAUAUGAAAGAACUUGGAGUUGCAGAUGUGAUCUUAGGUAUAAGAAUCCAUCGAACUCCAUAAGGGUUGGCAUUGUCACAGUCUUAUUAUAUCAAAAAUAUACUUGACAAGUUCAAGUAUAUGGAAUUCGGUAUUGCCAAGACUCCAUUGGAUGUGAGCUUUGUACUUCGAAAGAAUGAAGGUGAAAGUGACUCACAAUUGGAGUACGCAAGAGUAUUGGGAUGUUUAUUGUAUACAAUGAAUUGUACACGAUCAAACAUAGCAUGCGCUAUUAGUAAAUUGAGUCGGUACACAAGUAAUCCCAACAAAACUCAUUGGAUGGAAAUGAAAAGAGUGUUGGGGUAUCUUAAAUACACUCAAGAUUAUGCCUUGCAUUAUAAUAAAUAUCCUGCGGUACUUGAAGAAUAUAGUGAUGGAAAUUGGAUCACUGGAUCGGAUGAAGUAAAAUCCAUAAGUGGAUAUUUAUUUACUAUCGGAGGAGGAGUAGUCUCUUGGAAAUCAUCCAAACAGACUUGUAUUGCUCGUUCUACAAUGGAAUCUGAAUUUAUCACAUUGGAUAAAGCCGGUGAAGAAGCAAAAUGGCUUCGAAAUUUCUUGGAAGACAUUCCGUAUUAGCCCAAAUCAGUGGCACCAGUAUGUAUACACUGUGAUAGCCAAGCGACAAUAGGUAGUGUAGGGAGUAUGAUGUAUAACGAUAAAUCUCGUCAAAUACGAGGGAGACAUAAUACCGUUAGAGAACUUCUCUCUAGUGGAAUUAUCAUUAUUGACUACGUAAAGUCAAAGGAUAAUGUUUUGGAUUGACUUACGAAAGGUCUAUCUAGAGAAGGAGUGGAAAGGACAUCCAAGGGAAUGGGUUUAAAGCCUAGGACAAGUCAGCAUGGCGGUAACUCUACCUAGCAGACUGGAGAUCCCAAGAGCUAGGUUAAAGGAGAUCAAACAAAGUUGUGUCUGACAGGUUCAACAUUGUCAAUUACCCAACCCAUUCUCAUGAUGUAGACAAUGUUUAGUAAACAAGGAUAAGACUUAAGGUUAAAAGUCUUUUAAUGAUUAUCUAAAUUUGGCAGAUUUGACCAAAUAGUUUAAUCUAUAGGAUUGAACAUUUAGAAAUCACCUAAGUAAGGACGAAGUGGAAGCUGCUUCAAAGAGAAUGUUAGUAAAGGCCCAUUCUCUAAGCUCUCAUGAAACUGGGACGUGUUCAUGGCUGAAAAAAAUAAAACUGUGAGAACCAUAAACGGUAAAAGGCUGGUUAUGUGACACGUGUUGUCUAGGUGUACAUUAAAGCUCGAUGGUUCAAAGAUAUCAAAUUUGCUAAUUGACCGAGUGCAUCCGAUGCAUGUUCACUACGGAAAGGUCAAAGAAAAACCAACUUAUGCAGAUGCAAUCAGUCUUUACUUGAUGAUCACAUACUUGUCCGUAAAAAUUUUAUGAAAAAUAGCCAUUCCUCAUUCAUGUGGGGAAUUGUUGGGUUCAAUAUGUAUGAAAGAAGUGUGAAUGGAAAAUGGAGAGAAAAAUGAUGGAGGGAAGGAGACACUAAUUUAGAAAGUGUACUCCCAAAUUGGAAAGUUCACUAAAUCUGCCAUAUUGGUGGGAGAAGAAAACUUUGGAGUGUUUUUAAUAAUGAAUACUUACUCCACAUGGAUAGUGAGGCAAGAAAAAGGUGGUGCCUCGCGCCGUCGUCGACGUCGCUCGCUCGGCUCGGCUUCAGCUUCGGCCUCAACUUUGGCGUCGGAUUUGGAUUUGGAUUUGGAUGAAAAUGGAGAGAAAAAUGGUGGAGGGAAGGAGACACUAAUUUACAAAGUGUACUCCCAAAUUGAAAAGUUCACUAAAUCUCUCACAUUGGUGGGAGAAGAGAACUUUGGAGUGUUUUUAAUAAUGAAUACUUACUCCACAUGGAUAGUGAGGCAAGAACAAGGUGGUGCCUCGAGCUGUCGUCGUCGCUCGCUCGACUCGACUUCGGCUUCGACUUUGGAUUUGUCAAAUGAUCGAUCAAUGAGAUCUAUCUAAUCUUUUUGGACAAAAUUUAUUUUAUCAAAAUCUGAUCCGAAUAUACCAAAGAAAAAAUGACAGAAACGCAGAAAAUUUUUCUGUGUGAUCAAUCAAACUGUUGAGUGAUUUCGUAGAGUCCAUCAAUUUGAGGUACCGCUAUUGUUCGGAUUGAAGGCCAUUUUAUCCUGGGAGAAAGAUUCCAUAACCUCGGGUACAGUGAGGGGAAUUAUUCCUUAAGAACACUUCGUGAAGUCGGAGGACUUGGUAUAAAUUUUUGUUUCAUCUUUUUCUGAAUAUUAAAACACUUCUAAGAUAGAUUGUUCAUAAUCUAGUGUUGAAGGUGUUAAGAAACUUCAUAAGUUCUUGUCUUGAACUUGAACUUUCUUUGAAGUUUCUGUUGCUUAUAUAUAGAUUCUUGUACCCAAAUACAUACAAAAUAACAAUGCCUACCACUCCCUUCUCUUUACCUGAUACAAGGCAGUCGAAGUACGCACCACCCUGUAGAUAUGAAUGGCGCGAAGGAAAGGUGCAAAUUAUCAUCUGAUGCAUUUGCUAGACAUCAAAAAAGGAAUUAACUUAUACUAUCGUGUAAAAGUUGUUUAUACUAUUAGACGUAAUUUAACCUGUUAUAACAAAUUACCUACUUUAUUUUACAGGUCACUACUUCCAUUUACUAUGUGAAGUUACAUAUUGCUAUCUUUUAGGUGUGUAAUACUAUUAAUGCAUAUGAGUUAAUUAAAGAAAAGGUCAUAUAAGCUAACGAAAUACUUUUUACACUGAUGCAAUUCAAUCGAUUGUAGUAGGUUUCAUCACCGUAAUAUUUAGGUUAUCAUAUUAGACUUGAUACGAAGAGUUACCAAUUAUUGCGAAUUAUGGUGUUCAGACACUUCAAAAAGGUAGUCACACCCGCGUCGGAUCCUCCAAAAUACAUUAUUUUUGGAGGAUUUAAAAAGCACAUUUUGAUGUUUUUAAAGAUUCCAAGCAACAUAAGUUGUAAUUCAAUAGUAUCUAAUGGUCUAAAAAAAGCAUACGUAGUCAGUGCACAAAACUUAAGCUCGGAGAAUAAAAUGACUUACUUCAUUUGCUUGGUUUGGACAAGCUUGCCAGCAGUAGAAAUAUCAGCAUCAAGUUCUUCAUUUUGGUAGAAAAGUUUAGGAUCAUUUACCAUAUCCAAUUUUCUCUUCUUGUAAGCAGCAACACAAACUUGCAAUAACCUAGUAAAAGGGCUACCAGCAGGAUCCAAAUUUCUAUACAAAGGGUAUCCAAAUAUGAACACAACAAUUGAAAUAAGCAUAGCAAUUAUUGGUACAACAAAUCCAAUGCUCCAUCCAAUAUUAUCUUGAAUGUAAACAAUUAUCGUGACAGCAACAAGCAUUGAAAAUCCCAUUGGCCUGAUUUUGCUUCUUUUUCAUUGAAAAUCCCAUUGGCUUGAUUUUGCUUCUUUUUUCAUGAGCUAUUUACUCAUUCUUCUUUUACUCUGAGUUUGAAAUUGUUAUUUUAUGGUGUUUUCGGGUACAAGAAUCUGUAUUUAGGCACAACUUCAACACUAGUUCAAAUUUAAAACAAGAACCCUAUAAAGUACAAAAACACCCUCAACACAAGAUCGAAGUGAUCUUUCUAAGAAGUGUGUUUUAGUUUUUCAGAAAUUAAGAUGAAAUAGAAAUAUAAAGCCAAGUCCCCCGACUUCAUGGAGUGUCCUUAAGAAAUAAUUUUCCUCACUGUAUCCGAGGUUUUGGAAUCUUCCUCCAAGGAUAAAAUGACUUUCAAUCCAACUAUAGUGGUACCUCAAAUAAUUGAAUUUGUCGAACUCACCCAACGAUUUGAUUGAUCACAAAGAAUGUUUUGAAUACAAGAAGAGUUUUUAUUCCAUAAAAUUUUUCAUUCAUUUCUAAACCUGUAGAUGAAAGCAGGUUUAUACAACCAACAAAUACCUUUUCUGAAAGAUAACAAUGGUUUACUUAAAAGGUGUAUCCUUUGGAAGAGUCAUGUUUGUUCAUUUGAAACAUUGUAUCUUUUUCUGAACAGACACAAUUAUCUGAACAGUCACACCUUUUUCAAAAUAAGAUAUCUUUUGCUCAAAGGUUGUGUCCCUCUAUUUUCCAUUCACACCAAUUAAACCAAACAAUCCCCCAUAUGAAUGGGGAAUGACUAUUCUUUGUAAAACUUUACAAAAAAGUAUGUGAUCAUCGAACAAAGAUUGAUUGCGUCUGGAUAAGUGGGUUUUCCUUUGAACUUUUCGUAGUGAACAUGCAUCGGAUGCACUCGGUCAAUAGGUAGAUUUGAUAUCUUUGAGCCGUCGAGCUUUAAUGUACACCUAGACAACACAUGUCACACAGCCUUUUACCAUUUAUGGUUCUCAUGGUUUUGUUUUUUUCAGCCAUGAACACGUCUUGCUUUCAUGAGAUCUUAGAGAAUAGACCUUUACUAACAUUCUCCUUGAAGCGGCUACCACUUUGCCCUCACAUAGGUGAUUUCUAAACGUUCAAUCCUAUAGAUUAAACUAUUUGAACAAAUAUUCCAAAUUUAGAUAAUCAUUAAAAGAAUUUUCACUUUAAGUCUUAUCCUUAUCUACUAAACAUUAUCUACAUCAUGAGAAUGGAUUGGAUAAUUGACAAUGUUGAACCUGUCUGACACAACUUUGUUUGAUCUCAUUGAACUUAGCUCUUGGAAUCUCCAGUUUACUAGGUAGAGUUACCGCCAUGCUGACUUGUCCUAGGACUUAAACCCAUUCCUUUGGAUGUGCUUUCCACUCCUUCUCUAGAUGGGUCUUUUGUAAGUGGAUCCGACACAUUAUCCUUUGACUUUACAUAGUCAACAGUGAUAAUUCCACUAGAGAGAAGUUCCCUAACGGUAUUAUGUCUCCGUCGUAUGUGACAAGAUUUACCGUUGUACAUUAUGAUUCCUGCCCUACCUAUUGCCGCUUGGCUAUCAUAGUGUAUACAUACUAGUGUCACUGGUUUGGGAAAAUAACAAAUAUCUUCCAAGAAAUUCUGGAGCCAUUCUGCUUCUUCAACGGUUUUAUCCAAUGCGAUAAAUUCAGAUUCUAUGUAGAGCGAGUAAUACAAGUCUGUUUGGAUGAGUUCCAAGAGACCGCUCCUCCACCGAUAGUAAAUACAUAUCCACUUGUGGAUUUUACUUCGUUCGAUCCGGUGAUUCAAUUUGCAUCACUAUAUCCUUUGAGUACCGCGGGAUAUUUAUUAUAAUGCAAGGCAUAGUCUUGAGUGUAUUUAAGAUACCCCAAAACUCUUUUCAUUGCCACCCAACGAGUUUUGUUGGGAUUACUCAUUUACCGACUCAAUUUACUAAUAACGCAUGCUAUAUCUGGUUAUGUACAGUUCAUAGUAUACAUUGAACAUCCCAAUAUUCUUGUAUACUCCAAUUGUGAGUCACUUUUACCUUUAUUCUUUCGAAGUGCAAAGCUCACAUCCAAUGGAGUCUUGGCAGUACCGAAUUCCAUAUACUUGAAUUUGUCAAGUACCUUUUAGAUAUAAUGAGACUGUGACAAUGCCAACCCUUGUGGAGUUCUAUGGAUUCUUAUACCUAAGAUCACAUCCGUAACUCCAAGGUCUUUCAUAUCGAACUUGCUCUAGAGCAUUCGUUUCGUUGCAUUUAUGUCAGAAAUGUCUCUACUGAUAAUCAACAUAUCAUCUACAUAUAAACACACAAUGACUUGAUGAUUUGGAGUUUCUUUAAUAUAAACACAUUUAUCACAUUCACUUAUUUUGAACCCGUUUGCCAACAUGGUUUAGUCAAACUUCGCAUGUCAUUGUUUAGGUGCUUGCUUUAGUCCAUACAAUGAAUUAAUAAGUUUACAAACCUUAUUCUCCUUUCCUGGAACCACAAAACCCUCAGGUUGUUUCAUGUAAAUUUGUUCCUCCAAUUCUCCAUUUAGAAAUACGUUUUCACAUCCAUUUGAUGGAUUUCAAGACCAUAUACUGUUGCCAAGGCAAUUAACAUUCGAAUCGAUGUUAUCCUUGUUACUGUCGAGUAUGUAUCAAAGUAAUCAAGACCUUCUUUUUUCUUGAAGCCUUUUACUACAAGUCUUGCCUUGAAUUUGUCAAUAGUACCAUCCGCUUUUAUUUUCCUUUUAAAGAUCCAUUAGAACCUAAAGGUUUAUUUUCUGGAGGAAGAUCAACCAAUUCCCACAUAUGUUUGCUUAAGAUUGAAUCAAUCUCACUAGUGACUAUCUUUUUCUAAAAGGAUGAGUUUGACGACGACAUCACUUCUUUAAAUGUUUGAGACUUAUUUUUUAAGAAAAAUAUUACAAAAUCUGAUCCAAAUGUAGUAGAAGUUCUUUGAUGUGUACUACGUCUUGGAUUCUCUUCAUUAUGUAUAUUCUCACUUGGUUCAUAUCGAGGUCGUUUAGACCCUCCACAAGACUGUUCAUGUCUAGUUUUAUACGGGUAAAUGUUUUCAAAGAAUUCAACAUUAUCUUAUUCAAUUACUGUAUUUUCAUUUAUAUCCUGAUGUUUGAAUUUAUGAACCAAAAACCGACAUGCUUUACUGCUUUUAGCAUAUCCUAUGAAUACGCAGUCCAUAGUCUUAGGUCCUAUCUUAACCCUCUUAGGCAUAGGAGCUUUAACCUUUUCUAGACACCUCUACACGUUGAAAUAUUUCAAGUUGAGUUUUCUUCCUUUCCAUUUUCAUAAGGAAUUGAUUGUGUCUUGCUAUGAAGAACUCUAUUGAGUAUAUGGCUGUAAGGAUAGCCUUCCCCCACAAGUUUUGUGGUAAACCAAAACAUAUAAGCAAGACAUUCAUCAUUUCUUUUAAAGUUUGAUUUUUUCCGCAAUUUUGUUAGAUUGAGGUGAAUACAGGGCCUUAGUUUGAUGGAAAAUUCCAUUCUCUACACAUAUUUUGGCGAAGGGAGAUACAUAUUCUCCGCCCCUAUCACUUCUUAUCAUUUUUAUCUUUUUCUCUAACUGAUUUUCUACUUCAGUUUUGUAUUGCCUAAAUGCAUAUAUUGCUUCAUACUUACUAUUUAGCAAAUAGACAUAACAAUAUCUAGUGCAAUUGUCAAUAAAAGUUAUGAAAUACUUUUUCUCACCACAUGAUGGUGUGACUUCAUAUCACAAAUGUCAGUGUGUACUAAGUCUAAAGGAUUGAAAUUCCUUUCAACGGACUUAUAAGGAUGCUUUGCAUACUUUGAUUCCACACACGUUUGACACUUUGAUUUAUUGCACUCAAAGUUUCGCAAAACUUCUGAGUUAAUCAACUUUUGUAACAUUUUUUAAUUAACAUGACCUAGACGUUCAUACCAUAAAUUAUAAGACUCAAGCAAGUAAGAAGAAUUUGAACUUUUAUUUAUUUCAACAUUCAUUACAUUCAUCUUAUAAAGGCCCUCGGUGAGAUAGUCUUUUCCUACAUACACUUCUCCUUUUCUAAUUACAGUUUUUUCUGAAACGAUUACACAUUUGAAUCCGUUCUUUUCUAGAAGUGAAACAAAAAUUAAGUUCCUAUGUAAUUUCAAAAUGUACAAAACAUUGUUAAUUGUCAACACCUUUUCUGAAGUCAUUUUCAAGCCCACUUUUCCUGUUCCUUCUACCUUAGCCGUAGUGGAGUUAGCCAGGUAGAUUAUUUCUUCCACUUGAGCCAGAGCAAAUGACGAAAAUAACUCUUUGUUGGCACAAACAUGGCGGGUGGUACCAAAAUCCAUCCACCACUUGGGAGGAUUCCCCACCAAGUUGCAUUCUGAAAGCAUAGCACACAGAUUAUCACAUUCUUUGUUGGACUCAAUCAUAUUUGCUUGGUCCUUUUUCUUGCCUUUCUUAGGGGCACGAUAAUUUGUGGACUUAUGGCCAAUCUUGCCACAGUUGAAACACUUUCUCUUGAAUUUCUUCUUGGGUUGAUGGCUUCCUUGUUCAACUUUCUUCCUUUUCUUAGAAUUGUUUUGGUCAUCUUCUACAAUAUGUGCCCCAUUAAUUGUAGAAUUCUCUUUUGACCUUCUCUCGGCAGCCUUGUUAUCCUCUUCAAUACGUAGUCGGACAAUAUGAUCUUCGAUAUCCAUAUUCUUGCGUUUGUGCUUUAAGUAGUUUUUGAAGUCUUUCCAUAUAGGUGGUAGCUUCUUAAUGAUCGUUGCUACUUGAAAUGCAUCAUUCACAAUCAAACCUACAAAACAGUUUAUGUGAGUACUAAGAACAUUUUCAAUUUGUUUAACUAAGGUAUUUUUCAAAGAUAUACCUUCUGCUAGGAGAUCGUGAAUGAUUACUUGCAAUUCCUGCACUUGAGAGACAACCAAUUUGCUAUCUAUCAUUUUAAAGUCUAACAACCUUACAACAAAGAAUUUCUUAAUUCCCGCAUCCUCUGUCUUAUAUUUUCAUUCUAGUGACCCCCACAAUUCGUUUAAUGUCUUAGUUCUACUAUAAAUAUUAUAGAGGUCGUCUUGGAGACCACUCAAUAUAUAAUUCCUGCAAUGGAAGUCUGAGUGUUUCCAAGAUUCUACAAUCAUGAAAUGCUCUUUGUCUGAGGUUUCCUCGGGCACCUCAGGAGCAUCCUUAGUAGUGAACCUUUAAAGGCAUAGAUUGGUGAGGUAAAAGAACAUCUUUUGCUGCCAUCGCUUAAAGUCAAUGCCCAAAAAUUUUCUGGACUUCUCCGCAGGUGCCAUUGGCUGCAGAGCAUUUGCUUGACUUGUUGAAGCAAUGCUAGUUACCCCCACAGUCGUAGCCGCAUCUUGCAUUUGACUUUCGUUAGUCAUUUUAUUGUCACCACAAGACAAUAAAAUUUAGUAUUUUCAUAAUACUAUUUAUAAAGAUAAGCAACUUUAAACUUUUCUUCUUGUUUCUAGUUAAUGAUGAAGUUUUUAUGACUUCCAAUCGUCAACCGAAUGAUCUUUAACUUGUGAUGAAGAUUUUCUGUCUUCGAAUUACUAGUUAAGUUCAAAUGGAGUACAAAGCUUAAAGCUUUAAUCUCUAAAAACAAGCAAUACAGAUUCUGCAAAAAAUUAUUUCUUAAGAUUGUUAUUUUAUGGUGUUUUCAAGUACGGGAAUUUGUAUUUAGGCACAACAACUUCAACACUAGUUCAAGUUUAAAACAAGAACACUAUGAAGUACAAAAACACAAGAUCAAAGUGAUCUUUCGAAGAAGUGUGUUUUAUUUUUUCAGAAAUUAAGAUGAAACAGAAAUAUAAAGCCAAGUCCCCCGACUUCACGGAGUGUCCUUAAGAAAUAAUUUCCCUCAUUGUACGCGAGGUUUUGGAAUCUUCAUCCCAGGAUAAAAUGACUUUCAAUCCAACUAUAGUGGUACCUCAAAUAAUUGGAUUUGUCGAACUCACUCAACGAUUUGAUUGAUCACAAUGAAUGUUUUGAAGACAAGAAGAGUUUUUAUUCAAGAAAAUUUUUCAUUCAUUUCUAAACCUGUAGAUGAAAGCAGGUUUAUAUAGCCAUCAGAUGCCUCUUCUGAAAGGUGGCAAUGAUUCACUUAAAAGGUGUAUCCUUUGGAAGAGUCAUAUCUAUUCAUUCAAAACAUUAUGUCUUUUUCUGAACAGACACAACUAUCUGAAUAAUCACACCUUUUCCAUACAUAAUAUAUUUUUUGCUCAAAGGUUGUGUCCCUCCAUUUUCCAUUCACACCAAUUAAACCCAACAGAAACAAAUGAAAUCUCACCAUCUUAGUGUGACUGCAUGUUGUUGAAGAGUUUUUCAUUGAAUGAAAAAACGGAUAGGUGACCUCAUCUUAUGGCCUUGGAUAACCUUAACCUUCUGAGCUAACUUUUGGAGUUAAGAUAACUUUAAGAUCUACUAUUUCUUUUUCGAAUAAUGCCAACCAACUCGACCAAGACAUUUAUAUGAAAAAGAUAAAAAAAAAAAAGAUGUGUUAAGUUAGUGUUUUCCCAGCCGACUCGCACACCACCAUCUUUUUUUAGAUUGAAGAAGUAUCAAGAGAAGGUCCACCUCAUCUAAUAUUUAUCGAUAAGUGGGCUUCCCAUAUCAACUUAUUCACUCUCCAAAUAUCCAACCAUGAGUAAGAUCUAUUUCUUAAUACUGGCAACAAGUAUCGAUUGACUUUUACUUUAAUCAUAAGAUUAGAUUCAGUGCCAGACUCUAUGCAUUGUGUUACCACUUAGCAGAGUGCUGUGUUUUUAAUGAACGAUCGAUCGCUACCCCCUGAGUCGCAAUUGACCAUUUCAAUAGACAUAUAGGCAAGGAAACUUCAGUAUGUAUACUUUUCUGUUGAACAUGAGACAACUUGCUUGGGUGUCGAAGAAAGAGAGCCAAAGGGCUAGAUAGAGAGAGGAGAGGGUACUCAAUACUCACCAUUGGCUCUUCACUCCUGUUUUCAAUUAGCAAAAUUAAGAGAGACAUAUCAACAAUUUCAAUACUGUAAAAUAGUUCAAAAUCCUGAAUUUUGCACUGCAUGUAAAAAAGAAAUUCAAAAAUUUAAUCAGUACAAUGAGGUCGGAAAAAAAAUCUCAACAAUGGUUGAUCUAAAAGUUAAUGAACAAAGGAAAAGAGACAUGGCAAAACAAUAAUAGCAAUUUGCCUGAAUUGUACUGGAAUAGAAAAAUUGAAAAGAGGGGAAGAGUCUUAAAACAAAAGAACUUUAUUAUGCAUUCUAACGCUAUAUUCAAAUAUUCUUCCUUCUAAUUAAAAUAGUUGAAGGAUGAAAUUAACAAACAAUGAGAAAACUCGGAAAGAAAGCAGACCAAGAAUUUGAAAUAUGAAAAAGAAUCAAAAACAUGCAAAAUUAAACUGACCGGACGCUAGAAGCCUAAAACCAAGCAAUCCUAGUAGCAGGUUUGAGCAAACAAUUGAUUAAAUGAUAGGGAGAUCCAGCAAAAUUGUUUGAGCAAAAAACAAAGAAAAAGGAGAGCAACCAAAUGAACAGAUGGAGAUCAGAUCGGUGAAAGGAUGGAUGGUAUGGAUAAACGUGGUAAAUUUAGUGCAGGUUGAAUGACACAUAAGGAAAGUAGAGGUGAAGACGAAAAUGCCCUUAGUGCUUAAACAAGCAUGUUGAAACAUAGCCUUUCCUAAUAUAGUAGUAAUAAUAAUAAUCAAUGGCGGAUGUAGAGUAGAAGGUGUGGGUUCCCGGGAACCCACACCCGCUACCGUAAGACUUAAAAUUACAUAAAAAAAUCGUCAAAAGUUAUAAAUAUUAAUAGGUGGGAACCCAUAACUAAACCAAGGGAUAACUUAGUGACAGGAAAGGAGCCCUUGUGAACCCACAAGUUUAUAAUUCUGGAUCCGCCUCUGAUAAUAAUUGAGGAGCUCCUAGGUUGAAAAUCACCAAAACAAAAAAUAGUAUUUACUACUUACCAUAAACGAAGAAAAGGAUAAAUAUAUCCUCAUAACUAUAGUAGGUAUAGGUCAUUUGUUAUAUUUUGAGUACAUAUAUAUUCUUAUCAUUAAUAAAAUAGUACGUAUAUGUUCCUCAGAUUAAUGUCAAAGGCAUAUAUGUAUCCAAAGUAUGACGGUGAUCAUAUGCAUAUCAUGUACCAUAGUUCAAUGGUAUAUUUAUCUCCUUUUCGUUUUAAUUUUUGUAACCCCAAUAAUUAACGGAAACCUACUAUCCAACUCAAUAGAAUCACUAUCCGAUCUUGUCUCAAUUAAAAUUAAAGGAACACCUAACAUAUGCAUUUUUCUCACUCUUGUAACAAUAUAUACACAUAAGCCAGUAACACGCACUACUAUCAAUUUUAAAAAAGAAAUCAUUAACUUGUAACACCUAAAAACAACAUCCAAUAAAUUCAUGUCUCAAUUUUUCAGCGAAAUUUCAUCGAAAAAAUACAAUCCACCACCGGUCAGCACCAUAUAGCCACCGUCUAUGUCGAAUAAAAAAACAUGCAUUGGCGAACCACAUCGCACCGCUAGCUCCAACCACCUUCGACCUAAUCUCCACUCCCUCCAACCCGCAAACACCAACGAAUAGCAUUGAUCAAUCACUGUAAUUUGAUUGUGCUUCAAGUUUAAAAGAAAAAUAGAGAGAGUAUUGAAUUUGAAACAAAAAUAGAAAUUGGAUCGAGUUGGUCUGCAAAGGUUCAAUGGGUUUAUUGAGUUGAAUAGGGAGUUUGAAUUAAUUAUUUUAAAUAAAAAAUUAAACGAAAAAGAAACAAAUAUAUCCCAGAAUUAUGAUAAAUAAUACGUAUAAAUAAUACGUAUAUACUCUACAUUAUACUUUGUGUACAUAUAUGUCCCUACCGUUAGUGUCAGAGAUAUACAUAUAAUUUCAUUAACGAAUAUAUACGUAUCAUUUAUCAUAAUCCCAAUAUAUAUUUACUCUUUUUCCGUACAAUAAAUAAGGAACACAAACUAACCGUCCACCCUGGAAAGUCUACCAAGGUACUACUACCAAUUACUAACAAGACAAGGAGUGGUAUUUGUUAUAGUUUGAGGCUUAGCUUUACUAGCCGAAGCUCCUGGACUCAAAAUCUAUCUUCCAAGACCCACAUCCUCAUUUCGUUGUCUCCGUCAAUCAGCCAUUAGCGUAUGUAAUUAAUUUGCGUAGUGGCAUGUUCGUAUCAGUGGUGAAACCGAGAUAUUUACUAAGGAGUUCAUAAGUGAACAAAUGAAUUAACCAAAGAUGGUCAACAUCUAAUAUAUAUACAUAAAAUUUAAUUUUAAUCAUGUAUAUAUAGCAUAAUUUUUUGUCGAUCUGAACCCCCUCGGCAAAGGGUAGAUCCGCCACUGGUUCGUAUAUUUUACGCGGACCCUUAAUGAGUCUAAGAUUAGAUAUUUGGUUUCAUCAACACAUUCUUCGUACAGACUGCAAAUAAAGAAAAACGGAGAAUGAAAUUGGCAAGCUUGUGACGUGACUAUAUGAAAGCAGUAAUGGUCCUGCAAGUGAAGUGAUGAAGCGGAUGAUUUCAUAAACUUCAAAAGAAAAAAAGACAGAGAAAUAAUACUGGAUAAUGUCAUUACAUAAGCACGGGAAACAAUCCCUAAGAUCGAAUACAUUUGAUUAUAUCAGAGUUCAGUAAGUGCUGAAGCCAAGUUGAAAUUAUAUGCCCCGUAUUGCAUAAAGCAUAUAAAGCUGAAAUGCGUUUAAGAUAUACAAUCCACUUGUUGCUAAUCUUACAUCCAAAACCUUUAUGUAGAUUUGAAUACCAAAAUCAAAACUUCCAAAACCUUUAUGUAGAUUUGACCAUAAAAGAAUAAUCUUCAUAGGUUAAGAUUCCUUUUUAGAAGUUUUGAUAAAAUAAAGAAAAAAACCGCACUCUCCCUUAGGAGCGGAGCCAGCCUCAGAAAAAUAUAUUAUUUAUACGUGAUUAAAAUUCAUUUUUAUAUGAUUAUAGUAAAUGUUAAACUCCCUUUAACUAAGUUUUCUUUGAAUAUAAAACCCUUAGUUAAAAUCCUAAUUUUUUUAAUUUUUUUUUUGAAUAUGAAUCUCCUUCAUUAAAAUCCUGAUUCCGCCUCUGCUCUCCCUAGUUAAAAAACAUCACCCAAUCUAGAGCCUAAUUACAAAAAAAAAUAGUGUUCUUCUAUGCUUCCCUUUAGAUCUACGCUUCCCUUCAGAUUAUUUAAGAAAGUGAGGACUAAUCAAAUCAAUUAUCUCAAGGAACUCAACACGCUUCUUUCCAUCAAAAAUCUCAUCACAAAUUAUGACCUCCUUGUUUUGAGGAUCCUAUAAAGGCCCGUAAAAGAAAGAGUCGGCAGCGCAAAGAGUGGAGAUACGCUAUCAGAAAGCAUUCCCUUCUUUUCACCAACCUCUCGGAUAAACCAUAGAGAGCAUCAUGUUAGAUAUCAACACUAGAAAGCUAAAGCCAGAUUACACACCCAACACAAUGCAACAAAAGAUUUGACAUACUAAUUACAGUACUACAUAGACCGGUAGAAGACAGCAGUCCAAAUGCGCUAAGCAUUCCAAAACUUCCAAUAGAUACUUAAGAUGGCAUCUAGGUAGACAAAGGUAGCAAAUCAGAAGCAUGCAAAAAGCCAGCAAUUGUGGCAAAGAACAUAGAUUAGAACCAGUAUAUUCUUUCUCAACAUAUAUACCACUAGAUAAAAUUUCCGGUGUUAAAGUAAGCAUAUCGAAUGAAAAUAACAAAUUUACAUCUUUGUUCAUAGAAGAGACGAAAUGAAGCUCAACCCACGAAAACAUUAAAGAUCAAUCGAACAACUACAAACAUGUAAAAGAAAAAACUGCAUCAAUAGCCAUUUCAGAUAAGAGUGAGCAACUACUUCAGUCAAAUGUUAAAAUUUAUGCCACAUGGAAAGGAUGUUGCAACAAGGUUUCACCGGGAUUCGCUUUAAAGGAGAGUGAAAAUUAGGGGCCAGAAAAACUCAAGACAUACUAAUUCAAGGGAAGGAAAAGAGAACCAGAAAUCUUAAAUAAAUGUAAAGGAAAUUAUUCAUUAAUCAAGCUCAUACAACAAUUUCUUGUUUACAACUACAAAGCCAAGACCCACAACUUAGAUAAUUACACACACACAAUUCAGAUUACACCAAACACAAUAGACAAAGGACUUUCAACAAAAACAGCUGAUCUGCAUGCACUUGUUUAACCAGAUAUGUCAAUUGCCUUGACCUCAGGUUUCUUCUCCUCUUCUUUCGGAACUGUUACAGUGAGCACUCCAUCCUCCAUAGCUGCCUUAAUUUCCCCUGUUUUCGUAUUCUCCGGCAGCCUAAAUCUCCUCAAAAACUUGCCACUGCUCCUCUCCAUACGGUGCCACUGAUCAUUCUUCUCCUCUUGCUCUCUGCUCCUCUCACCGCUUAUCUGUAGUAUCCUUCCUUCUUCAACUUCGACUUUCACUUCCUCUCUCUUGAUCCCCGGAACGUCUACUUUGAAGAUGUGCGCUUGUGGGGUCUCUUUCCAAUCGAUUCUUGCAUUUGCGAAAGCAGAGGUUUCACGAGCAGAGGAGGGGGUGUUGGCGAUUGUGCUUGAAAUUGGGAAGCCUUCGAACGGAUCCCAUAAGUCGAGGGAGAAUGGGUCGAAGAUGUUGCUCCUGCGACCACCGAAGAAGCUUGGAAUCAGAGACAUUUUUUGGGGACUUUGUCGUUUGAAGAAGACAAAAGAUGAACUAUUACAGAGCUUGAAUUUUUCUUUGAUUGUAGCGUUUAAUAAUUUGCUGAUGACCAAUGAGAGAAGAUGUCGUGAUAUUUAUAGGCGAUGAUGAACCAAGAAACUUAAUGUAAUUGGAGUGUAAUCUAGGAUGUUCUCAGAGUAUUCGACGAUAUUCCCCACAAAGCUAUCAAAUUCGAGGCUAAUCUAGGAUGUUCGUCGGUUGAUUUUUGAUAAGAGAAAUAAGAAGCUUCUACACUAUUCCAGAUAUUUUUUCUGAAGGGUCACUGCACAUUUUUGCUCGUGAAGUCAUAAGGUCGAUUGUAUUCGUCUUAAAUUAAAAAUGGAACGAAAGAAAUAUAUAAUGACUUGACGCUCUUACUAUAUUCGGACUUGUUUCGUCAAUUUGGAUCCUUCUAUUCAUUACAUUGCCAAUUCAAUUCUUAAAUUCAACAAAAUCACAUAUGUAAGCAAAUUAAAAUAAAGAGAUUAAUUUUAGAAAAAAUUACAGAAAUUAGUAUCCUUAAGAUUAUAAUUACAAUAAAUAGCAACACUUUUUUAAAAUUAUAACUAGCAAAAGUAGCAAUAUUUUACUUAUUUCAUAGUAAUAGAACAAUAUGUAUUUUUCAAUUGUGCAUAUAUAUUUAUGAGUAAUAUAUAUAUAUUUGUAUAUGUAUUUAUAUAGCAACAUUUUACUUAAAUACAAAUACAAUUUACUAUUUUUCGUAAUUAUAAAACUGUUGCUAUAAAAGUUAUAAUUAAGGUUUAGAGUUACUAUUUCUGAAACACUUCCAUUAUAGGAGCUCUUAGAUUGAGUUGAAAAUCACCAAAACAAUCUGGCAGCUCAUAAUCGAUAUGUCUAUUUCAUUUAAUUCAAUCAUACUUUUAUUAUAUUAUUUUUAAUUAAUUAUUAUAAAUUAUUUAUAUAUUCAAAAUUAAUAAUAUUUAAUGAAAAAAUAAAAUAGACAUAUAUAACAUAUUUGUUUCUUCAAUUGUAAUUUUAUUAUAUCACUCCUAACUAAGUAUUAUAAGUCAUCUAUAUAUUAAAAAAUAAUAAUAUUUUAUAAAAUAUAAAAUAAACAUAAAAUAAUAAAUUAAUGUUUGAUGUUUUAAAUUAAAUUGACGUCUUAUAUUGAAUCCACUUAAAUUUUUUUCACAAGUAUUUAAUUUUUUUUAUAUCAUUUGUAACUAAUUAUUAUAAUAAUUUAAAACAUAUCUAAUUCGCUGCUUUAAUCGUGAUUUUACUAUAUCAUCCCCUAAUUAAUUAUUAUAAAUUAUUUAAGUAUUAAAAAAUUAAUAUAAUUUCAUAGAAAAAGUAAAAUAUACACAAAAUAAAAGUUAACUCUUAAUAUCUUAAAUUAACGUGUCGACUUAAAUAAGAUUCAUUUAAUUUUUUUUAUAAAUAUUUUUUAUAAUAGUUUUUUAUAUUACUUUUAAUUAGUUAUUAUAAUUCAAUUAAAUAUUAAAAAAUAAAUACUAAUAUUUAAUAACUGACACAAAAUAGAUAUAAAAUACUCCCUCCAUUUUAUUUUACGUGUCAUAAUUUGACUAAGGAUGGAGUCUAAAAAAUAAAAAAAGACUAUGAUUUUUUUAUCAAAUUGUCUUCUAUUAAAAAAAAUGUACUACUAGUAUCUUUAAUUAAGUGGAACCUCAUAAGUUGUACCAAUAAAGAUAAAAGUGAAAUUGUAUCUUUAAAUAAUUAUUAAAUAAGAAAAUAUGCAUUCUUUUUUAUAUAGACCCAAAAAAAAAAUAACGAAACAUAAAAUAGGAUGGAAGGAGUAACAAAUUAAAAAUGAUUGAAUGAAGUAUUUUGCAACGGUAAUAUCUGUGUCAAAAACGACUUACUAAUAUCUAAAUGAUUAAAUUUAAACAAAAUAUUAAAUACAUAGUUGCGAAUUAAGAACUGAAUUAUCAAAAUUUAUUUUUUAUUAGACAUAAAUGAAGCAUAAAAUACGUAAAUAAGGGAAUUAAUUUUUUGUUACUAUUUUAUCAUUUCAAUUCACUUGACAACAUUUAAUCAAGCAUGGAGUAGAAAAAUAAAAUGCUUUUGAAAUUCGUAAAUAAAUAAACGUUAAAUUUUUUACGAUCAUAAAAUAUUUUAUCAAAAAAUAAAACAAAAAUUGUAAAAAUAAAUUGUUUCUUCUCAUCACUCACUACAUGCCACUAUUUACUUACAAUAAAUAGAAAUUAUGUUAGGAACACAAAAUAACCGUCCACCAUGAGAAGUCCAACAAGGUACUACAACCAAAUACCGAACAAAUAGUAGUAGUAUUUGUUAUAGCUCUCGAGGCUUGAGCAUUUCUAGCUGAAGCUCCUGGACUCAAAAUCUACCUUCCUAGACCCACAUCCUCAUUUCGCGGUCUCCGAUUUUGUAAUCCAAAUUUAGUUGAUUCGAUUCUGAAAAGAUCGCGGUGCAACUCACGGUUGAAAUUUUUUGAGGGAUCUGUGAUGGUAGUGUAUUAUAGAAGUGCGACUUAAAGGAUUGAUUUUAAUAUAAUAGUUCUCGUGUGUUAUUAAGAACUUUUACUCCUCCCACUCUUCGAUAUAAUGAAUUCCUCCUCCUCUCUAUGAUUUUUCUCAUCAAAGAUUUUCACUUAAAUCUAUGUGUAUUCAUCUUAUUUUUCUUUUGCUUAUCAUAUUGCUUAUUUAUGUUUGAUUUCAUAUUACUUAAUUUGCAUAGUGGCAUGUUCGUAUAUUUUACACGGACCCUUCAUGAGUCUUGAGAUUUGGAUAUCUUCAAACAAACAGACACUGCAAUAGAGAAAAACGGCAAGCUAGUAACGUGACUAUAUGAAAGCAGUAUUAGACCUGCAAGAAAAGUGAAGGAGCUGAUGAUUCCACAAACUUCAUAAAAACAAAGAAAUAAUACUGAAUAGAUUCACUACAUUUGGCCAUGUCAGAGCUGCAGCCAAGUAGAAGUUGUACUAAAUAUGCCCCACAACAACUCACUUGGCUACUAAUUCUGCAAUCCAAAAACCGUCACACAUAUAAAUCCGAUUACCAAAAUCAAAACUUUAACAGGAAAGUAAUCCUAUAGGUUAAGGCUCCUCCAAAGAAGUUCAGAUAAACUUGUUGUCUUUCACAAGAAUAUGUAAUUUAACACAAUAACUUUAAUAUUAAUUCAAGUUUAAAACAAUAACAUUAUAGAGUUAAUCUUUUUAAGAAAUAUAUAUUUUUUCAGAAAUUUAGAUGAAAUAAAAAUAUAAAGCCAAAUCCCCUAACUUCACAGAAGUUCCUUAAAAAAUAAUUCCCUUCAUUUUAUCCAAAAUUUUUUUAGAAUCUUCCUUAAAAUGACUUUCAAUUCACUGUACCCAAAGUUUUAGAAUCUUCCAAUUAUAAUAAUACCUCAGAUAAUUAAAUUCGUCAAACUCAGCGAUUUGAUUGAUCACAACAAAUAUUUUGAAGACAAAAAGUUUGUAUUUCAGAAAAAAAAAAAUUCCUACCAAAAUCUGUUGAUAAAUGCAGAUUUAUAUAAUCAUCAAAUGCCCCUUCCAAAAAAUGAUAAUGAUUCAUCAAACAAUGUGUAUCCUUUAAAAAAUCAUGUCUGUUCAUUCAAAACAUUUUUUUUUAAACAGACACAACUAUCUGAACAAUUAUUCUUUUACAAAAGAAUUGUGUCCCUUUAUUUUUUAUUCACACCAAUUAAACCCAACAAAACCAACAAAACUAAAUUAACAAAGCACCCUUCACCCAAGUAAAUAUUAUCAGCCAAUUUAGAGCCUAAUUUAGAAAAAAAAAAAAAAAAAAAAAAAAGGAAGGUGCUCCUGCGACGCUUCCCUUUAGAUUCGUCCCUUUAGAUCAUUUUAAGGAAGUAAGGACUAAUCAAACUUAUCAACCCAACAAUAUAUAGAUAGGUGUUAACUCCAUAAUAAAAGAACAAGUAGGAUAAUGCAAUUAGAAAGAGUUGGCAACGCAAACAGUGGAGAUGCACCAGCAGAAAGCAUUCCCUUCUUUUCACUGACCUCCCCAGAUAAAUUAUAGAGAUAACAUCAUGUUAAAUAAAUAUCAACACUAGAAAGCUAAAGCCAGAUUACACACCCAAUACAAAGCUACAAAAGAUUUGACAUACUAAUUACACUAAAUAGACCGAUAGAAGACAGCAGACCAAAUGCACCAAGCAUUCCAAACUUCCAAUAGAUGCUUAGGAUGGCAUGGCAUCUAGGUAGACAAAGGCAGCAAAUCAGAAGCACGCUAAAAGCCAGCAAUUGUAGCAUAGAAUAGAUUAUAUUCUCUCUCGACAUACUACUAGAUAAAAUAUCUAUCAAAUUAAAAGAACAGUCCAGCGUACUAGUAAAUAUAUCAACUAUAACUUACAAAAUCAUAAAAGUCGCACAAUAAUUUCAUUGAAGCUUGAUACUUCGUAAGUGAAUGAAAUUAGACAAACAUAUAUCUUUGUUUAUAGAAGAGAAGAGUAUGAAAUGAAGCUCAACACACAAACAUGACAAAGAUCAAUCGAACAACUACAAACAUGUGGAGAGUGAGCAACAACUUUAGUCAAAAACAUACAAAUGCAAGGAAGGAAAAAGAGAAACAACAAUUUAAAAUAAAUGCUAAAAGGAAAUUAUUCAUUAAUCAAACUCUCACAACAUUUUCUUGUUUACAACUCCAAAGCCAAGACCCACAACUUAGACAAUUACACAGACACAUAAUUCAGAUUACACCAAACAUAACUUACUAAGGACUUUAAAACAACAGUUGAUCUGCAUGGACUUGUUUAACCAGAGAUAUCAAUUGCCUUCACCUCAGAUCUCUUCUCCUCUUCUUUAGGAACAGUUACAGUGAGCACUCCAUUCUCCAUAGCUGCUUUAAUUUCCCCCAUCUUCGUAUUCUCCGGCAGCCUAAAUCUCCUCAAAAACUUGCCACUGCUCCUCUCCAUACGGUGCCACUGAUCAUUCUUCUCCUCCUGCUCUCUGCUCCUCUCACCGCUUAUCUGUAAUAUCCUUCCUUCUUCAACUUCGACUUUCACUUCCUCUUUCUUGAUCCCCGGCACGUCUACUUUGAAGAUGUGAGCUUGUGGGGUCUCCUUCCAAUCGAUUCUUGCAUUUGCGAAAGCAGAGGUUUCACGAGCAGAGGAGGGGGUGUUGGCGAUUGUGCUUGAAAUUGGGAAGCCCUCGAACGGAUCCCAUAGGUCGAGGGAGACUGGGUCGAAGAUGUUGCUCCUGCGACCACCGAAGAAGCUUGGAAUCAGAGACAUUUUUUGGGGCUUUGUUGUUUGAAGGAAACAGAAGAACGUUUAAUAAAAAGCUUGAACGAAUAUUUCUUUGAUUGUAGCGUUUGAUAUGCUUGAAAAUUACUUGGUGAAGACGAAUUAGAAGUGGUGUCGUGGUUUUUAUAGGCAAUGAAUGGAGAGAUUUAUGCGAUGGGAGUGUAAAAAA
This 29913-nucleotide long non-coding RNA is filed under the name Capsicum annuum. RNAcentral's name for it is "long non-coding RNA (CANN_LNC013223)". The record is from RNAcentral. Lineage: Eukaryota; Viridiplantae; Streptophyta; Magnoliopsida; Solanales; Solanaceae.